This 262-nucleotide ribosomal RNA is filed under the name uncultured Desulfovibrio sp. RNAcentral's name for it is "partial 16S ribosomal RNA". It matches the Rfam family "Bacterial small subunit ribosomal RNA", at positions 1124 to 1382 of the family's 1533-position model. Lineage: Bacteria; Pseudomonadati; Thermodesulfobacteriota; Desulfovibrionia; Desulfovibrionales; Desulfovibrionaceae. The record is from RNAcentral.
GGUAAUGCUGGGCGACUCUGGUGAGACUGCCCGGUUAACCGGGGAGGGAAGGUGGGGACGGCGGUCAAGUCAUCAUGGCCCUUACGCCUAGGGCUACACACGUACUACAAUGGCGCAUACAAAGGGCAGCGAUACCGCGAGGUGGAGCCAAUCCCAAAAAGUGCGUCCCAGUCCGGAUUGCAGUCUGCAACUCGACUGCAUGAAGUUGGAAUCGCUAGUAAUUCGAGAUCAGCAUGCUCGGGUGAAUGCGUUCCCGGGCCUU